Molecule: long non-coding RNA, 1797 nt
Organism: Larimichthys crocea (large yellow croaker)
Lineage: Eukaryota; Metazoa; Chordata; Actinopteri; Sciaenidae
Exons: 5
Source: RefSeq, a predicted model, not a curated record
GGCAAACAUGAGAGCAGUCGGCAUCCUGGAAACGCAGAGAAGUGGCUUGAAUUGAAUGAAAACGCGUAUGUAUUAGUUGCGAGGCAGAAAAAGCAGGACUGCCAACAUGGAGAUGGCCAGCGCCAACACACUGAGCUUAAAAACAGCUCUUCAGAAACCUGUGGGUGACGUCACGCAUAGCAGUCCAUUCUUUAUACCAACCUGUGGGCGUAAAAACGGAAGGAGACAGGUUAGCUACAACUCCCACUGUGGAUUUUAGUAAAAAAAGAUCCAUUCCCAGAGUCAGAAACUACAGAUGUGGUCUAUACCUAUCUCCUUCAAGACUGAAAGCCCAGUGUGACUUCACCGAUUUUAAUGUGCAAGAAGAUUUUGGCUUCCAACAUGCCAGCUGACUGGGACCUUUCUGUGUGGAGUUUACAUGUUCUCUCCAUGUCUCUGUGGGUUCCAGGUGCUCCGGCUUCCUCCAACAAACAUUCAGAGUCAACAUUAUGCACAGCCCAACUUGCAGAUACCCACCAGUUCCACACCCUCAUCCAAACUAUGGUCACUACUGGCUCCAAAAAAAUCAAGAUGCAACAUCCAGCAUGCCAAACAAAUCAGUCAGUUUUCUGUGAGGUCACAGAGCAGCAGGAGACGCCUUCACCUGUAACAGGAUCCUCAGGUCAUUCUGCUGCUGAUGACAGAAAAUUGCAGCAGGUCAACUCGAGCUGUAGACCAGGUGGCUGCACUACUAUUUUUACAACAACCUCUCUGAGUCAAUCUGCAAGGACCCACUGUGAGAACAUUUAAGUAUAUUUCCAAUGAUUCUAUGUCAAAAAAUAUAUUGAUUUUACAAAUAUAUUGACAAAUAUAUUCAGGGCCAGCCCUAGGAUUUUGGUAGCCCUAAGCAACAUUUUGUGUGUGGCCCCAAAACACUCACAGGGCAACCACCAAAUCACACGCACUGCUCGUAACUGAAUGAAAACACACAUGCACUUGAAUUAACAACAAACUUUAUUUUAGAACAAUGUAUUGGUAUAUUACAAUUUUAAGAGGCUAAGACAAUUGAACAUAUUCUAAAUAAUAAAGAUGAUGUCCCUUCAGCAGCAGUCAUGUCACUCGAUGAGGUAGAUGGACCUGGUGUAGCAGAGGUCUGUCCACAGUAAUUCAAUAAUGCCCCUUUUUUUACAUAUCGGCUGGAAGAUAUGACAUAGGUAUGUCAUAUGUAUCUUCCAUAUGUAUUUAUUAACCACACAACAAAUGCAAUUUUGUCAGUGAAAUAUACAAAUUAGCUGAUUGUCCAAAUAUGUCCAAAUGAGUUUGUAUGAGAUACAAAAAUACAAUUUAACAUAGCUUGGAAAGCAAAUGGAUAGCCUGAAACUAUUUGGGCCAAUUUGGACGUUUAAUAUGUUCUGUAUUAAAAUAAUAUAUCAAAACACAAAUUUAAUGUUGCAAUAAAACAUUAGUAGCUAGUUAACAAGUAAAACUAGACCCCUACACAUGUUAUUCCUAGCCUCUGGUAUUGUUGCUUCAGCACAUAGAAAAAUGAAUAUUAUUGAUGUGAUGUGUGAAUGAGUAUACCACCAAGGCAAAAGAAACUAACAUUUACAUUAUACACAGAUGUUAAAUACUGUCAUAGGUCAUCUUUUCUCAUAUCAAGUGUAGUGAGGGCUAAAUAAUACAUAACAGUGCUUCUGCAUCCUAAAAUAAAAUGGAUUGAUUGACUAUAUAAUAUCACAAAGGAUUUGUCCUUAUUUAAACAUACUGUUUUUGAACUGCUUGGAAGUCUGUUCAUAGUCCAUUCUUCAUUCAAAGCUG